GAUGAACGCUGGCGGCGUGCCUAACACAUGCAAGUCGAACGAAGCACUUUAUUUUCUUUCCUUCGGGACUGAUUAUUUUGUGACUGAGUGGCGGACGGGUGAGUAACGCGUGGGUAACCUGCCUUGUACAGGGGGAUAAUAGUUCGAAACUGCUGCUAAUCCCGCAUAAGCCCACAGCAUCCCAUGCUGCACUGUUAAAAACUGCGGUGGUAUAAGAUGGACCCGCGUUGGAUUAUCUAGUUGGUGAGGUAACGUGCUACCAAGGCGACGAUCCAUAGCCGAGAUGAGAGGGUGAAAGGAGACAUUGGGAGUGAGACACGGCCCGAACUCCUACGGGAGGCAGGAGUGGGGAAUAUUGCAAGAUGGGGGAAAGGAUGAUGAAGCGAGGGCGGGUGAGCGAAGAAGUAUUUCGGGAUGUAAAGGUAUAUCAGCAGGGAAGAUAAUGACGGUACCUGAAGAAGAAGCACCGGCUAAAUACGUG
Molecule: ribosomal RNA, 481 nt
Filed under: uncultured bacterium
Lineage: Bacteria
Description: partial 16S ribosomal RNA
Rfam family: Bacterial small subunit ribosomal RNA
Source: RNAcentral